This 495-nucleotide ribosomal RNA is filed under the name uncultured bacterium. Its description in RNAcentral is "partial 16S ribosomal RNA". It matches the Rfam family "Bacterial small subunit ribosomal RNA", at positions 28 to 507 of the family's 1533-position model. The record is from RNAcentral.
GACGAACGCUGGCGGCGUGCCUAAUACAUGCAAGUAGAACGCUGAAGGAGGAGCUUGCUCUUCUGGAUGAGUUGCGAACGGGUGAGUAACGCGUAGGUAACCUGCCUGGUAGCGGGGGAUAACUAUUGGAAACGAUAGCUAAUACCGCAUAACAGUAGAUGUUGCAUGACAUUUGCUUAAAAGGUGCAAUUGCACCACUACCAGAUGGACCUGCGUUGUAUUAGCUAGUUGGUGGGGUAACGGCUCACCAAGGCGACGAUACAUAGCCGACCUGAGAGGGUGAUCGGCCACACUGGGACUGAGACACGGCCCAGACUCCUACGGGAGGCAGCAGUAGGGAAUCUUCGGCAAUGGACGGAAGUCUGACCGAGCAACGCCGCGUGAGUGAAGAAGGUUGUCGGAUCGUAAAGCUCUGUUGUAAGGGAAGAACGAGUGUGAGAGUGGAAAGUUCACACUGUGACGGUAUCUUACCAGAAAGGGACGGCUAACUACGUG